GCAAUCUUAGUGUAAUGGCUAUCAUUCAAGCCUUCCAUCAUUCGGUUGUUAGCUUGAGACCCGGGUUCGAUUCCCGGAGGUUGCA
RNAcentral lists this transfer RNA (85 nucleotides) under Daldinia caldariorum. Its description in RNAcentral is "tRNA-Gly". It matches the Rfam family "tRNA". Rfam says of the family: Transfer RNA (tRNA) molecules are approximately 80 nucleotides in length. Their secondary structure includes four short double-helical elements and three loops (D, anti-codon, and T loops). Lineage: Eukaryota; Fungi; Ascomycota; Sordariomycetes; Xylariales; Hypoxylaceae. The record is from RNAcentral.